Molecule: long non-coding RNA, 5598 nt
Filed under: Homo sapiens (human)
Lineage: Eukaryota; Metazoa; Chordata; Mammalia; Primates; Hominidae
Description: non-protein coding lnc-DCAF8L2-7:1
Source: RNAcentral
UUUAAAGACUCUAAAGGAAAUAUCAAUAGCAUACAUAUUAAAUGAGAUCAUACACAAGAUAAAAUUGCAAAGAACAACACAGUGAAAAGUAAUGUCAGUGAAAAGGAAAUGCCUUAUCCUUUAGUAGAGUGUUAAAUCCACGGUUCCACUUCCUGCUGGCAAGUAUUUUUACCAAGGUUUUGGGUAAUCAUCCAAACAGAUUUUUGUCACUCAUCCACAGAUAUGCAUGUGCACACAUACAUACACACACAUACACACAGUGUGCAAAUGAAAGCAUUUUCUUUCCCCUUUUACACUUGCAUAUUUACCUUAACAAUAAAUAUAUCUGUUUCUUAUUAAAGGUUGCAGAAUAUUGUUUGAGCCAUAAUGGAUUUAAUUAGUUCCCCUUUAGUGAAUAUUCCUAUUUUUCUUGCUUUUCUUUUACAAAUUAUGCUGCAACAAACAGCACUGUACACCUUCCUUUCUACAGGUGAGAAUUGUUGACUGGUAUAAAUAAAAUGGAAGAUUUGCUGCAUCACAUAAAUGUGCAUUUCAAUUUAAUAGAUAUGGCAAGUGACCAUCAAAGUGAAAUUAGUUUUACUUCCCACCAUUUAUGUAUAAAAAUACAUAUUUCCCCACAGAAUGCUCUCAAACUUUUUGAGUUCAACAACCCAAAUGAUGAAAUAGUGGAUGUAAUUGUUACUUUAAUGGGCAUAUGGUAUGUAAUUGAAACUGACCUAAUUGUCCCAUAGAACUGAUGUUUAUGGUUGCUUUUGAGUAAACAUAGAAAUUGACCCUCCCGGUCUUAAAACUUGAGAAAAUUUGUCUUAUCAGAAUUUCUUUCUCAGAAAAAUAAAUAUCAGGCCUCCCAGAUUGUAUCAAGGGACUGAAACUUACCAGAUCAUUGCAUCUGGACAAUGAGACAUCAGACACCUCACCCAUCAUGAAUGCCUAAGUGACCACCUGCUUCCUGUUGACCAGUUUCUCUUCUGUAGUCCUCCCUGAUUCCUGUUUUCCUGCAUGUAGUUACAUGUUUUCCCUGCUAUAUAAACCCGUGAUUUUAGUUGGUCAUGGAGGUGGAUUUAAGAUUGAUCUCUUUUUCUCCUCAGCUGCAGCACCCAGUUAAAGUCUUCUUCCCUAGCAAUACUCACAUCUCAGUGAUUGGCUUUCUUUACAAUGAGCAACAGGAUCUAGAUCAACUAAGCAAGCACAACUUGUCCAUCCGACAGAAACCCAAUCCUGGCAAAAAUGUAAAAGUGGAGCCAGGACAAGAGCUAGAUCUUAUAUAUCAACCACUGAAUUUUGUAUUUCUGUGUUUGUUUCUGACUCAUGGCUAACAUUUUAUAAUUGAAGCUACAAGCUCUCUAUUUGUGUCUGUAUGUGUGUUUAUGUACUAUGUAUAUAUAUGUAAUAGUUUCCUGCCUCCACACAGUAUUACCAAAUUAGAUUAUAAAAAUCCCUUCAAAUACUGCUGUUUUGAUUGGUUUAGAGCUUACUCCAGUAAAACUUCAUUUCAACAAUAAUUAUGCUCUUAGUGUAUCAGCUUGAAGAUAGUCUUAAAGAUCUUUUGGUACUUUAAAACCUUAUGCUUAUGCUAAAAUUAAGUAUUCAAGGAAUGAAGGAUGUCUUGUUACAGAAUAAGUAAUUUUAUUGUAAAUAAAAUCACUGGUUUUUACAGAAUGAAACAGGAAAAUCUGAAUGGAAAAGAAAAAUGGAAUAGAACAAAGUGGAAGGGAAAAGUAGCACAAUGUUCGUGGAAAAUGAAUUGUAUUUGUUGUGGUCAAAGAUAACUAUGAUUAUAUGGGUUUAUUUUUAAGAUUAAAAAAAGACUUAGUGUCAAAUAUGAUAUGGUCCAAAAUUAGAAUUUGGUUUACUCUCUGUUAAAAUAACAGAAUUUACUUGGACUAUUAGUCUGUUCUUAAUGAGAGGUUAUGAAAAAAAUAGAUUUCUUCUUUACCUUCAGAAUAAUCUGUCUAGAAAUUAAAGAUCUUUUAUUAUCAGAAUUAUUUCCCCUGCUUUAUGUUGACUUUACUAUGCCCUUGAUUAUUUAGGAGAACAGAGUCUUGUCAAUUUUAAAAGCUAAUAAGGUUUUAUAAAGUCAUAUUACCUCCUAUAUUUACUUCUGAAAUUUUGUAUAGUCAUUUGAUUAAAUAAGAAGCCAAAUAUUGUUUUUCAGCAACCCAUGAUUUUAUUUGAUCAACUGUUGAAAUCUCCUGACAACUUUUGAUAUUUUGUCUUCCAGAAAUCAAAUCCUAAAUAAUAUCUUCCUGAUCUCAAGCUUUGAGAUUUCCUGGGGGAUUCCUGGAAAAUUACAAAGGCUCUUUCAUCUUGUUAAAAGAGAGGGGCUAGAAUAAUAUAUCAAAUUAUUGAAAUGUUAUGAGUUACAUAGGAAGUAUUGUCAAAUCAGAAGAAAUGCCUGACCUUUCCUAGUUUAAAUUUGUAUGAAUAAAAUGUUACUAAUAUAAAUAUUUGACAAAUUGUAUGAAGUUAUUUGAGAUUUGUCAAUGUUCAUGCUGUCUAUGAUAUAUCGUGCUAUAGUUUUGCCUGAUAUAAGACAACAGUGUAGUGUUAUUGGUCAACUUCACUUUUUUUUUAUGUUGUAUGCCACAGAAGCAACCAAAUUUCCAUGUCAAUUGGAAUAUUUUUGUUGAACUCAUUAUAUCAUUAACCAUGGCUAUUUUCUCUUUGCCAUUCACAGGUAGUUUUGUUUCACUCUAAUGCUUCCCUUAACGUGCUUAGCCAGAGUACUUUGGUUAUAAACCGGAGUACUUUGUCUUCAACAAGAAGGGACUGUCUCAGAGACCCAGGAAAAGGUCUAUGCCAGGCAGUAUGGGGCACAGACUUCUGAGGAAUUGUUAAGAUAAUAUUGACAACAUACCAUGGACUGAGUCAAGCUAUCCAGUAAUCUAGUGAAGAAGCUGAUGAGUUCAUGAGACUGCCGGUUCAAACUCAGCAUGAUUUUAUCGUCUUUCAAGAAGGAGAGAAUGUAAAUAAAUUAGCUAACUUUGGAAUCUUGCAUUCUCAUUUGUUUAGUAGUUAUUUAAAUUCAUUAAAUUGCUUCAUAUAAGUAACCAUUAUUCUUGACGGUAAAAUUAAGUUUUUCUGUGCCUGGCUUAUUUCACUUAGCAUAAUGUCUUCCUUGGUCAUCCAUGUUAUUACAAAUGGUAAGAUGUUUUUCUUUUGCGAGACUGAUCUUAUUUUCUCAAGAUGACUGACUGGAAACAUCAGAUGCCAGUUCUCAGAAAGAUCAAAGUUACAACUGAAUGGUCAUGAUGUGAACAGAAAGCUAAAGGAAGAGAGCCGGGACUGUUGCAGAGCCCACAGGAAAAAGCUGGGACACAGAAAAGGAAGGUAGCAAGAGUCUGGCAGAGAUUGACCUCCGAGGAAUUUGAAGUCCCACAGAGGGAGUAAGUGUGCUGUUUCUUUGCUCCACUCAUUCCUGUGACAAACUGCUGACUGACAAAUUAUUGGGGAGCACCUCUGCCCUCAUUAACCCCUGCAAUGCUGUCAGUGGCAAUUUGGGAACUUCCUGGGAAUAGAGCCCCAGGUGGCCUUCUUAUACAGAUGUGCUUGCAUUCCUCUCAGGUCCAAACUGAGAUGGCAGAAACCAUACUGGUUGUGCCCCUAUUGUGGGCCACUGUCCUGCUCAGGGAACCUCAUCCUUUGUGUCACUGCAUCGCCAGAUUCCCUGCAAAUGUACCCAAGAACCUGCUCUGACUUGGCAACCACGGGGACUGGUGGAACCAUGAGGAAUUGCAGAAUCCCUGGAGAUGUAACCUUCCACACAGGCCACCCUUAAGGGAGUGGGGAGCAUAGCCCACAAAAGCACCCCUUGUGACAAAGGAAACAUGGGUCCAGUGCGGAUCUCUGAAGGAGGCAGCACCAAUGACCAGGAAUAGAUGUGUGUGUGUGGAGGGGGGUGGGUGGGGGGGUGUCAUCUCCCAUUCCCCUUGUCCACUGUUCCAGAUGCAGCAGAGGCUUUCUCCACUGCAGACUGUCACGAAUGCACUUGAAGACAGCCUUUCCAGUGCUAUUCACAGAAACUGCACCCCCGUUGAAAGUGAGCUUGUACCCCACUGGCAUGCAUGAUGGGCAGGGCCCAAUCUCCCCCUCCGUACAUAGAGGAGCAGCAUCGCAGCAACAGAAGGCAGUCAAGCCAUGAAGCCUGGUCUGGACUGGAAGAAGAAGCAUUGUCCUGGGGUCAUUUCAGUCCUGGGGUCAUUUCAAAAUAUUCUUCUGCCAGAAUAUUUUCUCUGACCUCAGUAACACUGUGGCCAGAGUCAAAGGACACUGUCUAUAUGAACUGAAGGUCAUGAGCUCUGUGACAGGGGCACAACAGGGAAGCAAAUCACAUUCCUCCCUGCCCAGGACUAGAGACAGAUGUAACCCCCCAACUUCUUCCCCCAAGACCUCAGUACAUCCCAACACAACUCUCCCUGCCUGCCCCCAUCAGGAUGGGUUGCCUCCACUUAUCAAAGGGCUACCAAAUGUUACUCUUAAGCGCCACCUACUGGAAUGGAGACUGCUGCAUCACUGAAUAAAAAUCCCUGCUGUCCGAAGAGCACAGGGUUAGUGCAUGAGAUAAGCUUCCUGAGACCGCUGCAUUCCCAGUCACGCAGGGCAUAGUGUAUUGGCUCAUAUGCCCAACACAUUGCUAAGGCAAGCAGCAUUUGAGAAAACCACCACACAUGAUUCCAUAUCUUUGUUACUGUGAAUGUGCUGCAAUGAACAUGGGAAUGCAGAUAACGCAUCAAAACACUGGUUUCACUUCUUUUGGAUAUAUACCCAGCAAUGAGGUUGCUGGAUCAUAUUUUUAAUUUUCUGGGGAACCUCCAUGCUGUUUUUUUAUAACGACUUUACCCAUUUACAUUCCCACCAAUAGUGAACAAGUGUUUUCUUUUCUCCACGUCUCCACCAACACUUAUUAUCUUUUGCUUUUUUGAUAAAAUACACUCUAAUACGUAUGAGGUGAUAUCUCAUUGCGGUUUUAAUUUACAUUUCCCUGAUGGUUAGUGAUGUUGAGAAUUUUUUCAUAUCUGCAUUGGCCAUUUGUAUGUCUUCUUUUAAGAAAUAUCUAAGUCUUUUGUCCAUUUUUAAUUCUGUUAUUUAUUUUCUUGCUAUUGAUUUGUUUAAGUUCCUUAUAGAUUUUGGAUAUUAACCCCUACCAGAUGUAGCAAACUGAAUUCAAUGGCACAUUAAAAGGAUGGUUCACUAUGAUCAGGUGGGAUUCAAGAAUGGAUCACCAUAUGCAAAUCAAUAAAUGUGAUACACCCCAUUAACAGAAUGAAGAACAAAAACCAUAUGAUCAUCUCAAUAGAUGUAGAAAUGCAUUUGACAAAAUUCAACAUUUUUUAUGAUAAAAACUCUCAACAAAUUAGUUAUAGAAGCAAUGUACCUCAACACCAUAAAGGUCGUGUAUCACAAGCCCACAUAACAUAAUAUGCAAUGGUGAAAAGUUAAAGCUUUUCCUCUAAGAUCAGGCACAGUAUAAGCAUGCCCAAUCUUGCCGUUUCUAUUCAACAUAAUAAUGGAAAUCCUAGCCAAAGUGAUUAGGAAAGAGAAACAAUAAAAAACAUCCAACUCAUAGAUAAGGGAGUUAAAUUGUUUCUGUUUACAGAC